RNAcentral lists this ribosomal RNA (413 nucleotides) under uncultured bacterium. RNAcentral describes it as "partial 16S ribosomal RNA". It matches the Rfam family "Bacterial small subunit ribosomal RNA", at positions 355 to 760 of the family's 1533-position model. The record is from RNAcentral.
UGGGGAAUAUUGGACAAUGGGCGAAAGCCUGAUCCAGCCAUGCCGCCUGUGUGAAGAAGGUCUUCGGAUUGUAAAGCACUUUAAGUUGGGAGGAAGGGCAUUAACCUAAUACGUUAGUGUUUUGACGUUACCGACAGAAUAAGCACCGGCUAACUCUGUGCCAGCAGCCGCGGUAAUACAGAGGGUGCAAGCGUUAAUCGGAAUUACUGGGCGUAAAGCGCGCGUAGGUGGUUUGUUAAGUUGGAUGUGAAAUCCCCGGGCUCAACCUGGGAACUGCAUUCAAAACUGACUGACUAGAGUAUGGUAGAGGGUGGUGGAAGUUCCUGUGUAGCGGUGAAAUGCGUAGAUAUAGGAAGGAACACCAGUGGCGAAGGCGACCACCUGGACUAAUACUGACACUGAGGUGCGAAAGC